AAAGUUUCAUCUAUGGGGUACCCAGCCCCUUAGAUGGAGGCGGUGGGCCUGGCUUCUCCUUGGGGUGUAAAGUAGCUUCUUCGUAUGGUAGAAAGUAAGAGGCAGCCAGGCAGGAAUCAGGAAGCUCAGAGACACAAAGGGACUUGACCAAGGAUGCACAGCAGACCAGCACGUUCCAGAAUUCCAGCUUUGUUAUUCCAUGUUCUUGAAUGGGUUCGAGACCUCACGUUACAGAUGGGAAGACUGAGGCCCAGCCACCAGAGGCAGAACCCUGGGGCUUGCUCACCAGUUCUCCUGGGCCUGUCGCAUGGGUCGUGGACACCAAGGCUGG
This 331-nucleotide long non-coding RNA is filed under the name Vulpes vulpes (red fox). RNAcentral's name for it is "lncRNA (ENSVVUG00000004666.1)". Lineage: Eukaryota; Metazoa; Chordata; Mammalia; Carnivora; Canidae. The record is from RNAcentral.